GAUGAACGCUGGCGGCGUGCCUAAUACAUGCGAGUCGAGCGAACAGACGAGGAGCUUGCUCCUCUGACGUUAGCGGCGGACGGGUGAGUAACACGUGGAUAACCUACCUAUAAGACUGGGAUAACUUCGGGAAACCGGAGCUAAUACCGGAUAAUAUAUUGAACCGCAUGGUUCAAUAGUGAAAGACGGUUUUGCUUUCACUUAUAGAUGGAUCCGCGCCGCAUUAGCUAGUUGGUAAGGUAACGGCUUACCAAGGCGACGAUGCGUAGCCGACCUGAGAGGGUGAUCGGCCACACUGGAACUGAGACACGGUCCAGACUCCUACGGGAGGCAGCAGUAGGGAAUCUUCCGCAAUGGGCGAAAGCCUGACGGAGCAACGCCGCGUGAGUGAUGAAGGUCUUCGGAUCGUAAAACUCUGUUAUUAGGGAAGAACAAAUGUGUAAGUAACUAUGCACGUCUUGACGGUACCUAAUCAGAAAGCCACGGCUAACUACGUG
This 497-nucleotide ribosomal RNA is filed under the name uncultured bacterium. RNAcentral describes it as "partial 16S ribosomal RNA". It matches the Rfam family "Bacterial small subunit ribosomal RNA", at positions 28 to 507 of the family's 1533-position model. The record is from RNAcentral.